CGCUGGCGGCGUGCUUAACACAUGCAAGUCGAACGAACCUUCGGGUUAGUGGCGGACGGGUGAGUAACGCGUGAGAAUCUGCCCUCAGGAGGGGGAUAACGGUUGGAAACGACCGCUAAUACCCCAUAUGCCGAGAGGUGAAAAGAAAUUCGCCUGAGGAUGAGCUCGCGUCUGAUUAGCUAGUUGGUGUGGUAAUGGCGCGGCAAGGCUUCGAUCAGUAGCUGGUCUGAGAGGAUGAUCAGCCACACUGGGUCUGAGACACGAACCAGACUCCUACGGGAGUCAGCAGUGGG
Molecule: ribosomal RNA, 293 nt
Filed under: uncultured bacterium
Lineage: Bacteria
Description: partial 16S ribosomal RNA
Rfam family: Bacterial small subunit ribosomal RNA
Source: RNAcentral